Molecule: long non-coding RNA, 528 nt
Organism: Limanda limanda (common dab)
Lineage: Eukaryota; Metazoa; Chordata; Actinopteri; Pleuronectiformes; Pleuronectidae
Exons: 3
Source: RefSeq, a predicted model, not a curated record
UCAACAUGGAUCUGGGACCAUGAGUUUGAUGACGUGCAUUAAAAGACCUGGAACUUGACAUCGACAGCAACAAACUCAAAAACAGCACAUGCAAAAACUGCUGUUUUAGUCAGAUUUUCUCAAUGAAGCUUCGUUGUACCCACAGAGCAUCACUCCUGGAAACGAGCAGAGCUCCCCGGGCCUUAGCUGGAAGGCAGAUGUAGAUGCAAACCCACAACAGGAGGACUCUCCACACAACAGGCAUGCCUGGGAAACAGAAGUGCCUCUUCCCCGGCAUGGCUGAGAACAAGUCUGGAAGGAAUCUGAGGCAUGUGGGGAUCAAGUCUUCCAGUAAGAGUUGUACUCCGCCCACACUGUGCAGGAGGAGGGGCCAUCCAUGUCCAAAGCUCUUGUUUUCAGUAUGAUUGUGUUGAAACAAGAUUGUCCAGACAGACAGCAACCUUACAAGGCUGAUUGAACCGAGGCGGGGACGGAGGAGAGGGAGGAACCAGCAUCUUUGGACACAGAACGAGGCUGUGAGGAACACAU